AAGGUUAAAACUCAAAUGAAUUGACGGGGGGCCCGCACAAGCGGUGGAGCAUGUGGUUUAAUUCGAUGCAACGCGAAGAACCUUACCUGGUCUUGACAUAUCUAGAAUCCUGCAGAGAUGCGGGAGUGCCUUCGGGAAUUAGAAUACAGGUGCUGCAUGGCUGUCGUCAGCUCGUGUCGUGAGAUGCUGGGUUAAGUCCCGCAACGAGCGCAACCCUUGUCCUUAGUUACCAGCGGUUUGGCCGGGAACUCUAAGGGUAUCGUCGACGUGACAAACUAACGGUAGGGAAAGGGACGGGGACGGGAACCGUACCGUAACGUACUAUCUACGUCGGUCCCGGUUACCCGUUAACCCGAACGGGACGGUUACCAACCAACCGUACGGUCGUACCUAAACUAAGGUUACGGGUUAACGGUAACGGAAGGGGACGGACGACGUAACCAACCAACGGCGGACGUAGUUGGUAGUAGUCGGAAACUAACUUACCUAAAAAACCGAAACCGUCCUUACGUACGGUUACCGUACGUAAGUUAGGGUUAGGUACGUUCGUACGAAACCCUACCGUACCGUACCCUACUAAGGUAAAGGUAAAGGUAAAGUACCGUACCGUAACGUUAAAGUACCGUCGGUACGUACUAAGAAACGUACGUCCGGUCCGGGUUAGGUAAACGUUAACCGGUUUCCCCGGGGUUCCCCGGUUCGUUAACCGUACCUACCCGGUACCGGUACCGGUACCGGGACCGGUACGGUUACCGGGG
RNAcentral lists this ribosomal RNA (758 nucleotides) under uncultured bacterium. RNAcentral describes it as "partial 16S ribosomal RNA". The stretch from base 1 to 630 matches the Rfam family "Bacterial small subunit ribosomal RNA", at positions 890 to 1533 of the family's 1533-position model. The record is from RNAcentral.